Molecule: long non-coding RNA, 1000 nt
Organism: Larimichthys crocea (large yellow croaker)
Lineage: Eukaryota; Metazoa; Chordata; Actinopteri; Sciaenidae
Exons: 3
Source: RefSeq, a predicted model, not a curated record
GUCUGCAACCUCGACCUCAGCAACAAGCUGGUAAAGACAGUGAAACAUCUUGAGUCCAGAAUUUGAGAGCAAAGCAGAAGGAAGUGAGAGUGCUCCAGCUCCACUUGGGUGUUCCCAGAUCAGUGAUAUAAAUAUAAUCCCUCCAGUGUGUUUUGGGUGUCCUCCCAGCUGCACGGACUCAGAAUAGCUCCUGACCUCCCUCAACUGACUCCACGCGAAGGAGCAGAGGUGCCAACUCGAAGCCUUUUUCUGGAUGUCUGAGCUCUUCGACCCCCGAGAGAUGCCAUCUUUGAUAAAAAUGAUCCCAGUCCUUGAGGCGUCAAACAUCAAAGCUGAGAUCGGAGCUUUGAGAAUCUUUGGUACUUCUCUUGCCAGAUGCUAAUGGAGGCUCAGCGGUAAACAGCAUUUUAUACCUUAAACAAAGAUUAAAGACCAAGUACAAAGUGCUUUCUAUUUCACAGCAUGUGAUCAUAAUCUGCAAGAGAUGGAAGGUACUUCAAAUGUGUCAUGCUGAUCCAUUAGAAACUCAGAAAUCGGUGGCAACAUGACAAAGAAAGACAAGUGUUUUAUACCAGAGCCAAGCCGAAUCUGAAUCCAGUCCAAGUUUCCAUCAUGAGGUGCAGAUAUCCAGCAUGAUGAGAUCCUAAAAAUACCUCUGAAGAAGGCUGCAGACAUCAUCCACUGUGUCCUAUUGGAAAGAAAAAAACCUGCUGAGUAAUUGACUUUGAAUAAUUGAUGCUCUCCCCAGCUCCUGAUUCAUUUUCAUGAAGGCUGAGGGGAAUUUUCAGGAGGGAAGCGAUUAGGAGGUUUAUCACCAUUCAGUCCUCGGAAAAGUAUUGCGGCGGUGAUUAUGAUGAUUUAACUGCAAAUUUGUGAUGAUUUCUCCCUGUAUGGUAUGGUGGCAGAGCAGCUCAUAAAAGGGAAUACAAAAUAAACCAUCAUUUUAUUUUAAAACCACAAUGGCAGGGAGCGUAAUUGUUCUCUAUACUGAAGGAAAGAA